GGCCGGUUGGCUUAAUGGUAAAGCGCCAGUUUCCGGAGCUGGAGAUUGCAUGUUCGAGUCCUGCAUCGGUCG
RNAcentral lists this transfer RNA (72 nucleotides) under Rhizoctonia solani AG-1 IA. RNAcentral describes it as "tRNA-Arg (CCG) (tRNA-Arg-CCG-1-1)". It matches the Rfam family "tRNA". Rfam says of the family: Transfer RNA (tRNA) molecules are approximately 80 nucleotides in length. Their secondary structure includes four short double-helical elements and three loops (D, anti-codon, and T loops). Further hydrogen bonds mediate the characteristic L-shaped molecular structure. tRNAs have two regions of fundamental functional importance: the anti-codon, which is responsible for specific mRNA codon recognition, and the 3' end, to which the tRNAs corresponding amino acid is attached (by aminoacyl-tRNA synthetases). tRNAs cope with the degeneracy of the genetic code in two manners: having more than one tRNA (with a specific anti-codon) for a particular amino acid; and 'wobble' base-pairing, i.e. permitting non-standard base-pairing at the 3rd anti-codon position. Lineage: Eukaryota; Fungi; Basidiomycota; Agaricomycetes; Cantharellales; Ceratobasidiaceae. RNAcentral also lists the same sequence under 2 other names. The record is from RNAcentral.